Non-coding RNA from Heterocephalus glaber (naked mole-rat), 1890 nucleotides. The record is from RefSeq and is a predicted model, not a curated record. NCBI's taxonomy places the organism in Eukaryota, Metazoa, Chordata, Mammalia, Rodentia, Bathyergidae.
GAGAAUAAGUGUGUGUUGUUUUAACCCAUUAAAUUUGUGGGAAUUUGUUACAGCAAACUAAUGCAAGACAUGAUCAAAAUAUGCAAUGAAUAUUUACGUUUCUAAAAAUUUAUUACAGUGAAAGAUACAGUGUCAUUAACGCCCUGAAGUAGUACUCCCUCCUCAUUUGGAACACAUUUAUCCCAUUGUUCUUGCCACUUUCUGAAGCAGUUCUGAAGUCCUCUUUUGCAUGUCUUCAUGAAAUGUGAUCCAAAAUGUGGUGAAUGCAGUUGCUGAGUCCCCUUCACUAAAAAGGCAGGUGCGUGGAAACAUUCUUCUAGGUCUUCAUCCACCUUAUUCACUGGAUCUUGCACCAUGCAACUUCUGGAUCUUCCCCAAAGUCAAAAUGACCAUGAACGGUAAGUAUUUUAAAUCAUUUCAGGACAUCGAGGCAGCCGUGACACCACAGCCAACUACAUGCACUAACGAGGGCUUCAGAAAGUGGCAAGGACAAUGGGAUGAGGUUUGAAGCGAGAGGGAGUGUACUGCGGGGGGUUAAUGGCAAUGCGUCUUUUACUGUGCUGUGUUUUAAAACUGUGAACGUUCCCUGUAUAUUUCUGUCACAACUCGUCCAUCUCUCCCAUCCAGAGGACUCCUUCAGAACCCUGACCCAGUCUGCGGGAGGGGUCAAAGGCAUCCACGGUGCGAGAUGGUACUUGACCUCAUCUACAAUAUCUGACCAACUGUAAAUUUUACACUGAUGAUCUCUUUUUAGCACUGAUCUUCUUAUUGGAAACUCUAGGAAUCUGGAACAUGGGCCAGCUGCUUCCAGCCUAAGUAGUUCCUAAGGCCAAUAAACUACUGUACCUAGGGUGCAUGAGGUUGCUAGAGCUGCUAGAACAAAACAGCACACUGGGUGGCUGAACAACACAGUUGACUUCUCACAGCCCUGGAGGUUGGAAGUCCAAGCAUGAACGGGACCCCAGGCUUGCUCCCCAGCACCUCAAAAAUCGAAAAAUAAGAAGGAAAUAUUGAAGGUGUAAAAGAGUAUACUACGGACCAACAAUAGAGAAGGCACAUACCUUGGAAUGGGAAGUUUUAGUAUUUAUUUCAUACUUUGAUUCCUAUGUUUUAAUGUGUUAACUGUUGAUGCUGCCAUGAAAAUUAUGUCGUGAAGCCCUCCCACCUUAUUAUGUUAUCUUUCAACAAGAAAUAUGGAACUAAAAUGAGACAUUUCCAUCCAUAUUCAGUAAACCACACAUACAGAAGGAAGACCAGGAGAGUGGGAUUUGGUAGAUAGGAGAGCAGGAGAGAAUGCCAUAUGUGUUCCUGCUUGUUGAAAUCCUAUGCACAGCAAAAGGCGUUCCAUUUAGACUUAUUUUGGAAUAAAACUAAGUUCAUAAUUUUAAUGAUUGAGGUGAGAAACUAUUCUUUGUUGAUUUUAAAAUACGUUUUAGUUGGCAUUAGCAGUGUUUAUUAUCCAACUCAUUUGUGUAAGUCACCCCGAGGGAAACUAAAUUAAUCAUUAAUUUAGAAUUGUCAACUAAAAAGUCAUCAAUACCUCAAAGCUAUUUAAAACAAUAGUAAAAUCACUUUUUGUGCACUCAGGUAUUUUCUACGUUUGUUAGAUAUAUUUUUUCCUAAAGCAUUUCCAAAUUCCAUAUGUGUUACCUUGUGUUAUCACUUACAAUAUUAAUAAUCAGAAACACCAAAUUAACUUUCGGUCAGGUAGUUAAAAAUUAAGGAAAUACUUUUCAAAGAGUCCUGAAUUUUAUGAAUUUCUUAUUAUACAAUAUUACUCUUUCAGGGCCUUAAGAGGGUUAAAUAAAAAAUAAACGAGUAAAAAGUCUGAAGGGCAUUUAGAACCAGAAUCACAUUUCCAUACAGAACAUAAUUAUCCCUUACUGUGUA